GCAGUCGAAACGGUAACGCGAGGAGCUUGCUCCUUGGCGACGAGUGGCGGACGGGUGAGUAAUACUUAGGAAUCUGCCCAGUAGUGGGGGACAACCAGGAGAAAUCCUGGCUAAUACCGCAUACGCACUACGGUGGAAAGUGGGGGAUCUUCGGACCUCACGCUAUUGGAUGAGCCUAAGUCGGAUUAGCUUGUUGGUAGGGUAAUGGCCUACCAAGGCGACGAUCCGUAGCUGGUCUGAGAGGACGAUCAGCCACACUGGGACUGAGACACGGCCCAGACUCCUACGGGAGGCAGCAGUGGGGAAUAUUGGACAAUGGGGGCAACCCUGAUCCAGCAAUGCCGCGUGUGUGAAGAAGGCCUGCGGGUUGUAAAGCACUUUCAGUAGAGAAGAAAAGCCUAGGGUUAAUAACCCUGAGUCUUGACGUAACCUACAGAAGAAGCACCGGCUAACUCCGUGCCAGCAGCCGCGGUAAUACGGAGGGUGCGAGCGUUAAUCGGAAUUACUGGGCGUAAAGCGCGCGUAGGCGGCUUUGUAAGUCGGAUGUGAAAGCCCCGGGCUUAACCUGGGAAUUGCAUUCGAUACUGCAUAACUAGAGUAUGGUAGAGGGAAGUGGAAUUUCCGGUGUAGCGGUGAAAUGCGUAGAUAUCGGAAGGAACACCAGUGGCGAAGGCGACUUCCUGG
This 684-nucleotide ribosomal RNA is filed under the name uncultured Chromatiales bacterium. RNAcentral's name for it is "bacterial SSU rRNA". It matches the Rfam family "Bacterial small subunit ribosomal RNA", at positions 57 to 732 of the family's 1533-position model. The record is from RNAcentral. Lineage: Bacteria; Pseudomonadati; Pseudomonadota; Gammaproteobacteria; Chromatiales.